GCGAAGAACCUUACCUGGGCUCGAACGGCUUACGACGUUUGGUGGAAACACCGGAUUUCCCGCAAGGGACGUGAGUCGAGGUGCUGCAUGGCUGUCGUCAGCUCGUGUCGUGAGAUGUUGAGUUAAGUCCCGCAACGAGCGCAACCCUUGUCCUGUGUUGCCAACCCGCAAGGGAGCACUCUCAGGAGACCGCCAGCGAUAAGUUGGAGGAAGGUGGGGAUGACGUCAAGUCAUCAUGGCCUUUAUGUCCAGGGCUACACACGUGCUACAAUGGCCGGUACAAAGCGCUGCAACCCCGCGAGGGUGAGCAAAUCGCAAAAAACCGGUCUCAGUUCGGAUCGCAGGCUGCAGCUGAAAUGCGUGAAGCUGGAAUCGCUAGUAAUGGUAUAUCAGAACGAUACCGUGAAUACGUUCCCGG
Molecule: ribosomal RNA, 418 nt
Filed under: uncultured Acidobacteriota bacterium
Lineage: Bacteria; Pseudomonadati; Acidobacteriota
Description: bacterial SSU rRNA
Rfam family: Bacterial small subunit ribosomal RNA
Source: RNAcentral